GGCACACACCACCAUGCCCGGCUAAUUUUUGUAUUUUUAGUAGAACCGGAAUUUCACCAUGUUGGUCAGGCUGGUCCCGAACUCCUCGCCUCAAGUGAUCCACCCGCCUUGGCCUCCCAAAGUGCUGGGAUUACAGGUGUGAGCCACCUCACCUGGCUCAAUGCCUGUUCUGAGCCCAGGACACCCGAGAACCAGACAGCAGACAGGGAGAGAGCAUCCAGCACUGACCUGGAGGAAAGGGCACAGAGGGUGCCGACGGCCACAGCAUAUCUGAUGGGGGCCCAUCCAAUGUGGACAAAAGCCUCCGGCAAGGGGUUCUCGGGACAUAUCAGGUAGUAGGGGCACUAUGAGGGUGAGCGCCGCUGAGACACCAAAAUAGGCCAAGAAGCAGAUGAAGAUCGAGGUCA
This 407-nucleotide long non-coding RNA is filed under the name Homo sapiens (human). RNAcentral describes it as "PREDICTED lncRNA (TCONS_00135873)". The record is from RNAcentral. Lineage: Eukaryota; Metazoa; Chordata; Mammalia; Primates; Hominidae.